Non-coding RNA from Corylus avellana, 197 nucleotides. NCBI's taxonomy places the organism in Eukaryota, Viridiplantae, Streptophyta, Magnoliopsida, Fagales, Betulaceae. The record is from RefSeq and is a predicted model, not a curated record.
UGUCUUGAAGGGCAGGAUCUUGAUGGUGUGCCUCCACCUUCCCUAGUGAAGCUCCCCUACCUUCAGAAAAUUGAUCUCUCUCGAAACUACCUUACUGGUACAAUACCAAGCCAAUGGGCUUCUCUAAAGUUGACAUAUCUGUCCUUUAAUGUAAACAAGUUAUCAGGACCAAUCCCAAGCUUCCUAGGAAACAUUAC